This 649-nucleotide ribosomal RNA is filed under the name Pseudomonas sp. GF-R2A-22. RNAcentral's name for it is "bacterial SSU rRNA". It matches the Rfam family "Bacterial small subunit ribosomal RNA", at positions 30 to 674 of the family's 1533-position model. Lineage: Bacteria; Pseudomonadati; Pseudomonadota; Gammaproteobacteria; Pseudomonadales; Pseudomonadaceae. The record is from RNAcentral.
UGAACGCUGGCGGCAGGCCUAACACAUGCAAGUCGAGCGGAUGACAGGAGCUUGCUCCUGAAUUCAGCGGCGGACGGGUGAGUAAUGCCUAGGAAUCUGCCUGGUAGUGGGGGACAACGUUUCGAAAGGAACGCUAAUACCGCAUACGUCCUACGGGAGAAAGCAGGGGACCUUCGGGCCUUGCGCUAUCAGAUGAGCCUAGGUCGGAUUAGCUAGUUGGUGAGGUAAUGGCUCACCAAGGCGACGAUCCGUAACUGGUCUGAGAGGAUGAUCAGUCACACUGGAACUGAGACACGGUCCAGACUCCUACGGGAGGCAGCAGUGGGGAAUUUUGGACAAUGGGCGAAAGCCUGAUCCAGCCAUGCCGCGUGUGUGAAGAAGGUCUUCGGAUUGUAAAGCACUUUAAGUUGGGAGGAAGGGCAGUAACUUAAUACGUUGCUGUUUUGACGUUACCGACAGAAUAAGCACCGGCUAACUCUGUGCCAGCAGCCGCGGUAAUACAGAGGGUGCAAGCGUUAAUCGGAAUUACUGGGCCUAAAGCGCGCGUAGGUGGUUUGUUAAGUUGGAUGUGAAAUCCCCGGGCUCAACCUGGGAACUGCAUUCAAAACUGACAAGCUAGAGUAUGGUAGAGGGUGGUGGAAUUUCCUGU